This 493-nucleotide ribosomal RNA is filed under the name uncultured bacterium. Its description in RNAcentral is "partial 16S ribosomal RNA". It matches the Rfam family "Bacterial small subunit ribosomal RNA", at positions 29 to 507 of the family's 1533-position model. The record is from RNAcentral.
ACGAACGCUGGCGGCGUGCUUAACACAUGCAAGUCGAACGGUGAAGCGCCUUCCUUUUUGGUGGGUGUGGAUGAGUGGCGAACGGGUGAGUAACACGUGAGUAACCUGCCCCCUUCUUCUGGAUAACCGCAUGAAAGUGUGGCUAAUACGGGAUAUUCUGGGUCUGUCGCAUGAUGGGUCUGGGAAAGAUAUUGUUUCGGUGGGGGAUGGGCUCGCGGCCUAUCAGCUUGUUGGUGGGGUGAUGGCCGACCAAGGCGGUGACGGGUAGCCGGCCUGAGAGGGUGGACGGUCACACUGGGACUGAGACACGGCCCAGACUCCGACGGGAGGCAGCAGUGGGGAAUAUUGCACAAUGGGCGCAAGCCUGAUGCAGCGACGCCGCGUGAGGGAUGGAGGCCUUCGGGUUGUGAACCUCUUUCGCCAGUGAAGCAGGCCUGCCUCGUUUGUGGGUGGGUUGACGGUAGCUGGAGAAGAAGCGCCGGCUAACUACGUG